UUUCUCACUCACCUCAAGUUUCCCUCACUCUACACGCCACCUAUCUACCCACUCCAUCAGUCUCUCCCAACGAAAAUAAAAAAGGAAAAGAAUAAGGUUUUGUCCAUUGGAGAUUGAUAUAUUUUACUCUCUCUGCUGACUUCACAAAAGGACCAACAAACAGUAACUUACUCUCACUCUCAAAGAAUAAAGAAAAGGAUUAAAAACGGAAAAGAGAAGAAGCCUCUGGGUAUUUCCCUGAGCGCCUCACCCUUAACCAUCACCAUUCCUCUUCUUCAAAUACUCCAUCGUCUUCCACCCUUUCACCACACUAACACCUCAUUUUCGCUUCCGCCGAAACAACCUAGAAUAACCGCCGUGAAUCGCCACCACUACCACUACGUCGCCGCAUCAUCUCUCAACCACCGUCAAUUUUGAACCAUCCGCCGUCUUCCUCAUAUAUUCCGGCGAUAAAUUCCAGACCUCACCGCCGUGUCAAUAACCGAACUCCUUCACACUCAGGUGAAUCCACCUCUGUUCACCGACAUCGCCGCCGCCACGGUUUGCUCUUCUAAAUUCACCACAACCAACUGCGACGCAGAUCCUCUCUUCCCCAACAGGCGAAACCAAGCAACAAACGACAGCAGUGACACCGCUUCGUUUCAAUAUGGUUGCAUUACAUGUCGGCUUUAUUGCAUAAAUCUCAAUGCCGAAUUUCUUCGACCGACCAUUCACGACAACAACCUUCGACAUCAUGGUAACAACAUGAUUUGUUUUUUGUAUUAUACUACUUUGUGUAUGUCUUUUAUUCGAUUCCGCGGCGGUGUUUGUAUGUCUUGUUGUUGUAGAUUCGAUCCCAUGAAAUGUUUUGUUAAUGGAGGAUAUAUACUUUUGUUUAUGAAUUUGAUUGGUGAAGGAUGACGAAGCUCUCUUUUAUUUC
Molecule: long non-coding RNA, 919 nt
Organism: Lathyrus oleraceus (garden pea)
Lineage: Eukaryota; Viridiplantae; Streptophyta; Magnoliopsida; Fabales; Fabaceae
Exons: 2
Source: RefSeq, a predicted model, not a curated record